Molecule: transfer RNA, 79 nt
Filed under: Apaloderma vittatum (bar-tailed trogon)
Lineage: Eukaryota; Metazoa; Chordata; Aves; Trogoniformes; Trogonidae
Rfam family: tRNA
About the family: Transfer RNA (tRNA) molecules are approximately 80 nucleotides in length.
Source: Rfam by way of RNAcentral
GGCCGGUUAGCUCAGUGGUUUGGGCGCGGUGCUGACAAUGACAACACCGAGGUCGUGGGUUCGUAUCCCACUCAGUCCC